CCGAAAAUGCAAGACUUGCUUUAAUUGUUUUCUGUCAGUGUUUAUAUGUCUUGAUCUAGCACGAGUUAGCAGUGUAAAUAACAUGAGUUCCGUUAUAGUAAAUAAUAUAGAAAGAAAUUGAAGGAAAACAAUUAAAGCAAGUCUUGCAUUUUCGG
Non-coding RNA from Paramuricea clavata, 155 nucleotides. The record is from the annotation of a GenBank genome assembly. NCBI's taxonomy places the organism in Eukaryota, Metazoa, Cnidaria, Anthozoa, Malacalcyonacea, Plexauridae.